UGCAGUUCUGUGAGGUCCUGUCGGCCCCCGAGGUGAGCCGCUGGGCGGGCCCCAUCAUCGACGUGCUCCUGGACUACGUGGGCAACGUGCAGCUCUGCGCACGGCUCAAGGAGCACAUCGACAGCUUCGACGACUGGGCCGUCAUCAAGGAGAAGGCAGAACCUCCAAGACCUCUGGCUCACCUCUGCCGGCUGCGGGUUCGAAAGGCCCUUGGGAAGUCCCGCAUAACGCUCCUAGACACGCUGCCUCUCCCGGGCCGGCUGAUCCGAUACCUGAAGUAUGAGAACACCCAGUAGCCGGGCCGUGGGGCGAGCAGUGGCCCCCGGACGUUCCCACUGCAUCUCCGGACGGUGGCGUCCCUGACUCCGAGGCACCUGGUGGCAGACGGGGUGGUGCCCGCCUCCCUCCUGGCCGGGGCAGCUGGGAGGGCCGGGCCAGGUCUUGGGCCGAGCUCAGGCGUCACAUGGACGGUUUGCUUUCACACUGGCGGGCAGACCCCGGGUGGUCCGGGAGGGUGGGCUCCGAGCUCCGUGCCCCUCCCUGUGCUCUGUGAACCUCCCGCUCCAGGUGCAGGGCGGUGGAGGGGCCCCCGGGCCCCUGGGGGCUCCGUGAAGCACAAUAAAGGUUACACAUGGACGCCCUCUCA
Carlito syrichta (Philippine tarsier) is the source of this 646-nucleotide long non-coding RNA. RefSeq lists it as uncharacterized. The transcript has 2 exons. The record is from RefSeq and is a predicted model, not a curated record. Lineage: Eukaryota; Metazoa; Chordata; Mammalia; Primates; Tarsiidae.